Pelobates cultripes (western spadefoot toad) is the source of this 317-nucleotide non-coding RNA. The record is from the annotation of a GenBank genome assembly. NCBI's taxonomy places the organism in Eukaryota, Metazoa, Chordata, Amphibia, Anura, Pelobatidae.
AGCAGAGCAAUCUUCCUCUCAUGGGUCUGCUAUGCACCUUAGAUGAAAUGCGUGUUCAGUGACUGUAGUUUUAACUGCCUCAAGUGAAUCAAUAAUGUUCCUGAGCAGUGUUAUCGUAAUGUCACUAUAUCCACACUGUCUAUUUUACUUUUCUCAUUGUCUUCUGUAUUAUCUCCUGCACAAAAGUUGUAUAGUGCAACCAAUUGGAGAGGAGCUAUGGAAUAAGAUCAACUUGAUGCUGUCCAUUCAGUAGUGUCAUUGGAUGUUCAUCAGGCAUAGGAUUAAAUGCUGUGAGGGGUAGGACUAUCAUCUCCUCC